CACCGCGCCGCACGCAAGGCAGCGGCCGCCCCCGGCCUCCACAUGCCGCCCCUCUCGCUGCGGAAGAGGCCGGGGAGGAGCCGGCGCCGCGCGGCCGCUACCGCCCUCCGCCGGCGCCGAAGAGCAGCACGGAGCCGGGUGCCGCGGCUGCGAUUUGAGCGCAGCGGGCGGCCCGGGCAGAGCGCGGGAAGCCGACUCCCGCCGUGCGGCGCCCCGGCGCGGGUAGCGAACGAGCGGGGCGGUCCGAGCUGCGGAGCGCCCCCAAGCGGCAGGUGUGUGGCGGUCACUGGCAGUGCGCUGAGGGGGAAAAACGGAAAAGAUAAAGGCGACGCGGACAGAGCGGAGAUGGGGCUGUGUGGAUCUGUGUGCUCGCUGCAUUCCCCUGCUGGAGUGGUACAUGAAGAGAUGCUCUCUUGUUCCUUGAGGACGGAUCCCACGUGCUUAACACCUCUGGAAGAAAAACAGUGAUGUUUUCACAGCUGCAGUAGUCUAAAUACUGAGGGCAUGCAGAUUUGUCCCUAGCAUUUCUGUGAGGAAUGACACAAGAUCAUUACCUUGCUGAGACUGAGCAACCCAAUUUCAAAGCAUGGAAAAGGGGUAAUCAUGAAACACAGACCCUAGGUUAAUAAAGAGGCUCUAAGAAAAGACAUCAGUCCAUCGUUACUUUUCUCUUUUCUGUACAUAAGGAGAAAUAACCUCCUCCUUGUUAAUGUUACUGGAUUAGAUCAGUGCAAAAUGUACCAAAGCAAAAUUCUUCAGGGAUACAAAGCGGAACUUUAGGAAUUAAAGUGCCAAAUUCUGGCUUGGCAGUGCAGCAGGUUUGCCUGCACUUACUCCUAGAAUCGCUACUACUCUCUGUAACUUCCGUAAACUUUCAAAGCGACAGCUACAUAGCUUUUUCUUUUUGUUCGUUUGUUUUUAAACACUGUUGUAUCAAGGUAAGAAGUCUUUUAACUUGUAACUUGUGCUUGUGAUUGUCUCUCAGCUGCAAGGGAAAUUAAGGGAACCAGAACAGUAUCUGAAUUUGUCUUGAAGCAAUUGCUCAUAGAGAAAAACUUGACACGUUGUUAUGAAGCACUUGAGGCACUGUUAUGCCCUUUGCUUUUUCCUUUCCCUUUGCUGUGCAACUUUAAGAUUCCCCCCUUCAUUAAAGAGCUGGCAGAAGGUAAGUUCAGAUGCCAUCUUACAGACUGGUUGAUGCAUCUCUUGAGAUGCCUCUCAAAUCCAUGAGACAUACCAGAACAGGAGCACACUGACAGCUGAGAUAGUCUUGAGAACAAAAUACUUUAUUCAUCAAUAAAACUAUAGUUUACAGUAGUAUUUACUAAAUAAAUUAUAUAAUUUCUCUCUUACAAGAAAUAAACUAAAAUCAAAAAUAUUUCGAAGACAAUAUAUAUACACAACAUAAGGCCUUGUUAUAAAUAACAUUUUUUCUUUUCACCGACAGUGAAAAUGUCUUUAAAGGCUUAUUUUCAUACCCCAUGUGCAGAGGCUUACCUAACCCUCCUAUCAAUUCCAAUUUCCACUUCUGUGGAUCUAAGCGAUUAGAACUGAAGGGUGAAAAUAUGCAAAAAUUAAUUUUAUUCACCACUGUGCUUAUUUUUAAUAGGUAAAGCAGAUAAUAUAUUUUGUUUGCAUAAUUACAAGAUGCAUGCAAAUGAAAUCACUAGAGAGCCAAUAAGAAAAUAUUACUUUCAAGUCCAAAAAAAUUGAUUGACAAGAUAGUAGAAAGCAGCUCAAACACACAGGUCUUCACAGUUCAGCAAGCAAGAGCAGAUGAUAGUAGAGUGUGGAAUGUUUCAUGUCACUUUCGCCAAGUCUACCCAUCCUUUCUAUAAUUCAAAGAUCCUAACAAUUCUUAGAACGAGUUCAACUGAUUAUUACUCCGUCUACAAGGCUCAGCAAAUCAGGAGUGCAGAAAGUGCUCUUCGUUAACCAUGGUCACUUCUCCAUCUCAGUUUUCAUUCUUGUGUUUUUUGUUACUGUAAAAACAAACAGAAAAAUAAGCUAAGUUAGAAGUUGUGUUUAUUUGCUUUCUUAUAGAAUUAUAAAUUGGUUACAUAUUUAUUCCUCUGAAGAAGCUGAAGCACAGUUCAAGAGUGAUCCUCUAAUCAAAAUCACCAGGUACUUCUCUGUACAAGAACCAACCCCUACAGUCUUGCAGAUGUUGCAUGGCACUUACAUUACCAAAAUCCAACCACUUGUUUAUGCAAAAUGCUGAACACUCUGGGCAUCACAGAAGACAAUCCAAACUGAGAGCGCUCAGCAACUCCUAACUUUCUUUCACUUGACAGAAGUACCUGAGGCUGAUUAGAAGCGUCAGAAGGGAAAAGUGCAGUUUUUGCAUGUCUUCUGUGAAAGUCCUGCUAGCUUCCACAGGAUAUCCUCUGUUGAAAAACAUAGCUAUCCAAAACUCUUCAGACACAGUUGAUGUUCUCUAUCAUUCCAUUUCACAAAAAACAUGACAAUACUUGCGAGUUCAUUUUCUACAAUACCUUCCAAAGAAGCAGCUGUUAAAUAAUAUAAACAGUCGAUUACUCCUUAGUAUCUCUACUGAGUCACAGAUGAAGAGAAGCUGCUCUCUGCUGAACAACUUAUUACCAGCAUUUACACAAUAGUGUAUUUUGCUGAACAAAAUCUUGCAGCGAAUCAAACGUAUCUCAGCUAAUGUAUUAAAUGUGGAAAAGGACACAAAAGCAAACCAAAGACAGCUGGACUGACCCCACUCUAGAACCUGAUAAAAGUAUAAAGAAGAUGCAAGUCUGCAUUUAUUAUUCAGAUUUUUUUUAAAGUCCCUUCCAAACUGUAUUUUUUCAGUACAAGCAUCUAACUAACCUUCAAGUAAGUAUUUCAGUAACAAUUUAAUCUUGGCUGUGAACAGCAACAAUGAAGCUCAGAAGGCAUUCUAAAAGCUUAUCUUACAAAAAUGAAAACCCAAAGAUAGUUAAGAUUUCUAGCAUUAGACUUUGAGCCUUAAAGAAGGGUUUUUAAGUGCUGCAAACUUUAAGCUGUGUUGUGAACCACUGUUAUGGACAGGGCAUUCACAGUCAAUUCACUGCUGGUGAGCAAAGUACUAGGUUCUCAGAGACUAUUCUCUGUGUGGACAGCACUUCUUUCCACUCUCAGCAAUAAUGCCACUGCUCACUUUUUGCUAUUCCAGCAGCACACAAUUAUAACAUAUGCAUUUUUAUUACUUUAACUCUUAUCCUUCCAAAGCAUUUCAGAAGGAUGAAGGAUUGAAAAAAUACCUGCAAAAUUUGCGUUACAGAAUUGGAAAAGACAGCCCUGAUAGAAACAUAAAGCAGCUGCGUGUGAGUCACAGAAAUGCUGUGCAUACAGCAGGAUUUAAAUAUCCUUCUGUGUGUCAGGUACAAUCCACUUCUGCGUGCAUUACUGUGGAAAAGUCUACAAUGGAAUGCACAUGACAUGAGCAUCUCUGUCACCACUGCACAACGUGUGGCGUUAUUUUGAUGUAAAAAGCAGCAUUUUCUGAUGAAGACUGCAUUUGACCAUAGCAAUUAGUUUCAUAUGAUAAUUAAUGGCAAAUGACCCCAUCAGAUGCCUUCCUGCAAUAGCUAUCUGAGAUCUCUCAUGCUGGUUCUAUAGUGUACUUUCAGUAUUGGGAAUCUUUUUGUACUUCAAUUGUCCUCCCAUGGAUUUGGUUUUGAGUAAAUUGAUUUCUCCAUGUAGUGCAUUAAAAUCCUUAGGGCAUGAGAACCUGUAGUUUAGCAACAAUAGAAGCUGUCAUUUUAGCAACUGGCUUACGCAGGUAAUGUACUAAUUGCAAUCAGAAAUGACAUGUCUAACACUUCAUUCCAUUAUCUGAUUUUCAUGGAAGUAUUGCUGUUGCUUUUUGUGUAACAUUGCUUCUGCAAAAACUCUUCUACUGAAUGAUAUUCAAGAGCUUGGUUUUUGUUUCACCUUGCAUCAGCCUUUGGUUUUAUGAGAGACAUAGGCUUAUUUUUCCCCUGAUGGACAAGAUAAUGGAUAAUUGAAUACAGACAUCAAAUAGGUAAGAGAGGAGAGGAAGAGUGAGUUGUUCCUCACUGUGUGGAACACCUAAAUCUUCCCUCUUUGAGCCUUAUGUAAACCCUGCUUUGAGGAAAGGGUGCUUAGCUGGUUCCAGUAUGUGCACAGAACACAUAAGGAUUUUUCUGCUCUCAGGGGAAAUUCACUCAAAAUGUCUGUAAGUAAGGAGGCCUAAAUUCUUUUCUCACAGUACUGAAGUUAAUAUUCAAUCUGCUGUCUUUUUCUACUAGUAUCUUCAACGGAAAUAGCAAAGCUCCAGAAAGAGCAAUGUGUCAAAAUAUGAGGUGUACAUCGUAGUGUGACUGUACAUUUAAUUGCUUGUUCUUACAUGUAUCCUGCCUGGGAAAUGCUUUAACUUCAGUCCCGGUUAUUACUGCUUCACAACAGCACUCUGAAGAAAUCUACAAUAUGAUUAGAAUGGAAUCAAAUGCUGUGGAAGACAGAGAAGCAAGAAGUUCUUGAAUGAAAAAGAAACCCCUUGUCAAGGAGUUAUGGUAGCACGUACAACCCCAUAUAAUAACUGUAAAUCACAGCCUGAACCACUGAUUGAGCAACUGGGGAAAGCACCCGGUCAGCCCUGGGAGCACAGGGGAAGGCAAUUCAGCUGUGUGACCAGAAGGGGUGGAGCCUGGCUGCUACAGUCAUUGCUUCUUGACCACCACAUCCCUGAUAAAAAAGUCCCUCCUCAUCUUUACUCUGAGUAUUGGAAGGCCACAAUGAGGUCUCCCCAAGCCUUCUCUUCUUUAAGCUAAAUGUGCCCAAGUCCCUUAGCUUUUCUUCACAGGAGAGGUGUUCCUGCCCUCUGCCCUCUGAUUGUUCUUGUGGCCAUCCUCUGGACCCGCUGCAACAGCUCCAAGUCUUACUUAUGCUGGGAGCCCCAGAACUGAACGCAGAACUGCAGGUAUUUAUUUGAUUUGAGGUAAGAAUUCCUUUUGCUCUGCAUGGAAAGUUCACACUAGGAGAGCGCAAAGACUGCUUACCCAAAAAUAGCUGAAGGAGUGAAAAUAUUUCUAAGAGACAGUAAUUGUGAAGAUGAGAGAUUCGAUAGUAAACUGGCAGUUGGAAGAGGUUGAAUACAAACUGUGAGUGUUCAAAAGGAGAACCAGGCACAGUACUAACUAUAGGAGUGAAAACAGAGGAAAAGAAGCACAGUGAAGAGUAAGAAGAGGGAGACAUGUUUGCCAAAUUUCCAAAUAGGGAGAGGCAAGCACUCAUCAGUCUAUUUAGCUAUGCAUCUACAGCCACAAUACACACAAAACAGAUCUCCAGCUAGGAUUUACAACUUCAGAAUCCUAUAGUAAAAUUGGUAUUUAGUCAUAAGCCGCAGUAUGGGUAAUUCUGAAUUAACAUUAUUAUCUGUGCAAUUCAUCUGACAAAUCAUAGCUGUACUAACUGGACUUCAAAUAUGCAGAGCUUGCUCAUCACAACAGCUACUCCUUUUUUCCACUCUAAAUCCUUUUCAAUCCUUUGCAGCCCUCUUUUCAGUGGUAGUGGCUCCUAAGUCAUACACAAAUAACAGCGGGUAAUGUUACAUUUCCACGUAACUAUUCCUUUACUAACAAGGAAGCUUCUGUCAUAGUUAACACAGGAGUUCUCCUUCAAACAAAAUAGUUCAGUAAUGAAAUCCUACAGGCAGGAUAUAUACUUGUUUAAGAUCCGCAUUUACCACCAGCUGAUUUAAGCUGUAGAGCAUCGUAAUGGAGCAAACUUAUGUCUGUCACUCUACUAUUUACAUGCAUAUUCUUAUCCCAUUGUAAGCAUAACAGGUAUCAAACUACUUACAGUGAAACAAUUAUCACACACAAUCACAGGGGUUGGAAGGGACCUCAAGACAUCAGUUAUCCUAUUUCUUAAGCCUUACUACUCUGACUUCACUGACACUGUAGUUUGUCACCUGAGAGAACAGAGGAGUAGUUUUUAAUUUCACGUUGCUCUUUCAUGGACAGAAAGCUUAACAUUGCAGACAGACACAACAGGGUGACUUAAGGUGGGUUUUUUUUUCUUUUUAGUUACCUAACUGAAAGUACUGCUUUUCUCAAUUUUAGGUACCUUAAAAACUGCACUAAGAUUUUUAUGGUUGGCUGAUCUACACAAUGAAACUUCUGCAGUGUUGGGUCUGUAUUUCAUACUAACCAAAGUCUUUCUUUUCAGAAAGAAGUGGUGUCUGUUAGGCAGCUUCAGGAGGUUAGACUGUAUGUGAUUUACUCGUCCAUUUCCUGCAACAUUUCAGGAUUUCUGAGUCUUUACAGACUUUUCAAGUCAACAUCGUAUCAUCAACAGGCCUGCUGAACACAAGUCCUACAGGAAUAAGCUGACUUAAUGGGCUACACAAAGGCAGAGUUAACUAAGUCAAUUCUAUUUCCAACUGGCUGCUUGUACUUGCUACUGUGUUGAUUCAGUUGAGGCAGAACAGACAAAACCUACCCUAAGCAGUGGGUACUAUAUUUACCUAAAUGUUGCUGGCUUAGUUAAAAAAAAAACAAAAACAAAAACAAACAA
Tympanuchus pallidicinctus (lesser prairie-chicken) is the source of this 6528-nucleotide long non-coding RNA. RefSeq lists it as uncharacterized. NCBI's taxonomy places the organism in Eukaryota, Metazoa, Chordata, Aves, Galliformes, Phasianidae. The record is from RefSeq and is a predicted model, not a curated record. The transcript is spliced from 3 exons.